This 497-nucleotide ribosomal RNA is filed under the name uncultured bacterium. Its description in RNAcentral is "partial 16S ribosomal RNA". It matches the Rfam family "Bacterial small subunit ribosomal RNA", at positions 28 to 507 of the family's 1533-position model. The record is from RNAcentral.
GAUGAACGCUGGCGGCGUGCCUAAUACAUGCAAGUCGAGCGAACAGAUCAGGCUCUUGCUCCUUUGACGUUAGCGGCGGACGGGUGAGUAACACGUGUGUAACCUACCUAUCAGACUGGUAUCACUUCGGGAAUCCGGCUCUAAUCCCGGAUAAUAUUUCGAUCCGCAUUGUUCGAUGGUGAAAGAUGGUUUUGCUGUCUCUUAUAGAUGGUCCCGCGCCGUAUUAGCUAGUUGGUAAGGUAACGGCUUACCAAGGCGACGAUACGUAGACGACCUGAGAGAGUGAUAGGCGACCCGGGAACGGGGACAGGGACCAGACGACUGAGAGAGGGAGCAGAAGGGAAUGGUACGCAAUGGGCGAAAGCAUGACGGAGCAACGCCGCGUGAGUGAUGAAGGUCUUCGGAGCGGAAAAAUCGGUUAUGAGGGAAGAACAGACGUGGAAGGAAAUGUGCACGGCGUGACGGUAACGAAUCAGAAAGCAACGGCUAACUACGUG